AACCGAAUGACGGGGAGGAAAAAAAUCAACUAUUUUUUUUUUUCGCGUAUUAUUAUUAUUAAUGGGAUGUUUAUUUAAAAAAAAAAAAAUAAAAAAAAAAUAAAAAGGUGCAUGGUAGAAAAAGCGUUAAGUAUUAGCCUUUUAAAGAAAACAAUUUAUAUGUGUACGUAAAUAUACCACGGUGUUUGUACUUGUAGGCGCCCCGUAAAAUAUCAUAAUAACAAUAGUUUUAGCGGUU
Molecule: non-coding RNA, 238 nt
Organism: Cinara cedri
Lineage: Eukaryota; Metazoa; Arthropoda; Insecta; Hemiptera; Aphididae
Source: the annotation of a GenBank genome assembly